GAUGAACGCUGGCGGCGUGCCUAAUACAUGCAAGUCGAGCGAACGGACGAGAAGCUUGCUUCUCUGAUGUUAGCGGCGGACGGGUGAGUAACACGUGGAUAACCUACCUAUAAGACUGGGAUGACUUCGGGAAACCGUAGCUAAUACCGGAUAAUAUUUUGAACCGCAUGGUUCAAAAGUGAAAGACGGUCUUGCUGUCACUUAUAGAUGGAUCCGCGCUGCAUUAGCUAGUUGGUAAGGUAACGGCUUACCAAGGCAACGAUGCAUAGCCGACCUGAGAGGGUGAUCGGCCACACUGGAACUGAGACACGGUCCAGACUCCUACGGGAGGCAGUAGUAGGGAAUCUUCCGCAAUGGGCGAAAGCCUGACGGAGCAACGCCGCGUGAGUGAUGAAGGUCUUCGGAUCGUAAAACUCUGUUAUUAGGGAAGAACAUAUGUGUAAGUAACUGUGCACAUCUUGACGGUACCUAAUCAGAAAGCCACGGCUAACUACGUG
Molecule: ribosomal RNA, 497 nt
Filed under: uncultured bacterium
Lineage: Bacteria
Description: partial 16S ribosomal RNA
Rfam family: Bacterial small subunit ribosomal RNA
Source: RNAcentral